GUUUACUGUCUAAGAUAGGCUAAAUACUAGAGCUUUGGCUAAAGUCAUGGAGCAGCGUUACCGGAGGAAAGCGGGUACGAAAGUACAACUUCUGAAUGGAAAAAGUGUCCUGGUCAACAUCACAGACUGCACCGUCCAACCUGAGUCUCAUCCCUACCCCAGGAAACUAAACUUCAACUUCUGAAUGCAAAAAGGGUCCUGGUCAUCCUCACUGACAGCAUCGUCCCACCGCAAGAGUUUCCUAGUGAACCUCACCGACCUGCCAGGCAUAAAACGACUGACGCCGUUGACCACAGACGAGAAUGCGUCCUCAAAGGUCUUUGUGUAUAUAUGAACGAAGAUCCAGAGAAGCUGGUGAGGAAUACACGAAUAUCGGCAAUGAAACCGGCCAUGGCAGAGACGGUCUUUGGAAUCUUUGUCAUUAGAAACGAAGGUGCAGAGCCCAGUGAUGACCCCCAGGAUGUUGGAAUCAUUCUGGAGGGGUGGAAGUGCUAGAUGAGUUGGGAAAUGUACCUUUUGCAGUGUCAAUGUCGCUUGCUCUUGUGUAUGCUCUUGUGUAUGCUCUCAACCUGAGCGACCCACAAGAGCUCAAGUACACCUUCGAAGCUCUGCAGAAGAUCAUGAUUGAACGAGAUUGAAACAAACUAUCCAUAAAAAGGACACGCUCUCAAAACAAAGCUUUUCUGUUAAUUUGAGACUGCCUACUGAUGGCUAAAGAAGGUUGGUAGGAAACGUCUGUGUUUCUUUGUUGUUUUCUGUAUUCCUGUAAGUUCGUAAUUGCAAAUGUUUUAAGAAGACUGUUUGAAUUGUUUUCAGAGGAAUGUGUGUACAAAGACAUUGUCUUUAUUGUUCAAGGUCUAGACUUUUUCUUAGACUGCUUGUUUUUUUCAAAUAUAUUAAAGUGCCAAAUAUAUUAAAGUGCCAAGAUCCACUAUGUUGGCACUUUUAAAAAUA
Long non-coding RNA from Cyclopterus lumpus (lumpfish), 954 nucleotides. RefSeq lists it as uncharacterized. The record is from RefSeq and is a predicted model, not a curated record. NCBI's taxonomy places the organism in Eukaryota, Metazoa, Chordata, Actinopteri, Perciformes, Cyclopteridae. The transcript is spliced from 5 exons.